Long non-coding RNA from Sinocyclocheilus rhinocerous, 648 nucleotides. RefSeq lists it as uncharacterized. Lineage: Eukaryota; Metazoa; Chordata; Actinopteri; Cypriniformes; Cyprinidae. The transcript is spliced from 4 exons. The record is from RefSeq and is a predicted model, not a curated record.
UCAAGCAAUCAAGUGGGAGGCGGUCAGUGUUAGCAAACAAGAGAGUUUAGUACACCAAACAAGCUAGCACAAUUCCAGUGUGAUUAUGCAUUACAAGGCCUAAGCGAUCACAUCUUUCCCUGAUUUAGCGACUCGGAGUAAUGGCUCUGCGCUGACAGGCUUGUAUGUGGGCAGAUAUACUUGCUUUAAAAAGCCUGGUAUCUCGUUCUGAGGCUGGAUGCAAUGAAAGCACCUUAGCAAUGCCACAGUUCACAUGGACAAGCUGUGUGGUGCCGCAACUCUUGGGAAUCAAUAGCCAUCGUGCCAUGAACCCCAGCAGCCUCCUACAAAAAAAUCAAUAGGGGCCGUUUGUGGCUUAGCAGCCAUCAAUUGAUGUUGAUAAUGGAGGGGGCAGAGUAGAGAGCGGUGGAGUGGCCCUCCACUCUGAGAGCCCGCUGAGGGUUCAUCUCCAUGGAACCCCCCUCCUCUCAACGGCAGAGACACGCACUGACUUCUAACCAGACCUUUCUAUGAGAGUGCAAGAAAACCCUCGGCUCACUGUGUUCCUGUUUACAACCAGCUAAUGUUGAACUUUUAAAGUCUUUUUUUUGCAAUGUGAGAGCAUAUCUUAAAAAUCUGCACAUCCUCAGGACAUUUGUGCUGGGUUUA